GAUGAACGCUGGCGGCGUGCCUAAUACAUGCAAGUCGAGCGAACAGACGAGGAGCUUGCUCCUUUGACGUUAGCGGCGGACGGGUGAGUAACACGUGGGUAACCUACCUAUAAGACUGGGAUAACUUCGGGAAACCGGAGCUAAUACCGGAUAAUAUUUCGAACCGCAUGGUUCGAUAGUGAAAGAUGGCUUUGCUAUCACUUAUAGAUGGACCUGCGCCGUAUUAGCUAGUUGGUAAGGUAACGGCUUACCAAGGCAACGAUACGUAGCCGACCUGAGAGGGUGAUCGGCCACACUGGAACUGAGACACGGUCCAGACUCCUACGGGAGGCAGCAGUAGGGAAUCUUCCGCAAUGGGCGAAAGCCUGACGGAGCAACGCCGCGUGAGUGAUGAAGGUCUUCGGAUCGUAAAACUCUGUUAGUAGGGAAGAACAAACGUGUAAGUAACUGUGCACGUCUUGACGGUACCUAAUCAGAAAGCCACGGCUAACUACGUG
RNAcentral lists this ribosomal RNA (497 nucleotides) under uncultured bacterium. RNAcentral describes it as "partial 16S ribosomal RNA". It matches the Rfam family "Bacterial small subunit ribosomal RNA", at positions 28 to 507 of the family's 1533-position model. The record is from RNAcentral.